This 497-nucleotide ribosomal RNA is filed under the name uncultured bacterium. RNAcentral describes it as "bacterial SSU rRNA". It matches the Rfam family "Bacterial small subunit ribosomal RNA", at positions 21 to 507 of the family's 1533-position model. The record is from RNAcentral.
GGCUCAGGAUGAACGCUAGCUACAGGCUUAACACAUGCAAGUCGAGGGGAAACGAUAUUGGAAGCUUGCUUCUGAUAGGCGUCGACGGCGCACGGGUGAGUAACGCGUAUCCAACCUGCCCAUCACUUGGGGAUAACCUUGCGAAAGUAAGACUAAUACCCAAUGACGUCUCUAGAAGACAUCUGAAAGAGAUUAAAGAUUUAUCGGUGAUGGAUGGGGAUGCGUCUGAUUAGCUUGUUGGCGGGUAACGGCCCACCAAGGCGACGAUCAGUAGGGGUUCUGAGAGGAAGGUCCCCCACAUUGGAACUGAGACACGGUCCAAACUCCUACGGGAGGCAGCAGUGAGGAAUAUUGGUCAAUGGACGAGAGUCUGAACCAGCCAAGUAGCGUGCAGGAUGACGGCCCUAUGGGUUGUAAACUGCUUUUAUAAGGGAAUAAAGUGGGAGUCGUGACUCUUUUUGCAUGUACCUUAUGAAUAAGGACCGGCUAAUUCCGUG